This 369-nucleotide ribosomal RNA is filed under the name uncultured bacterium. RNAcentral's name for it is "bacterial SSU rRNA". It matches the Rfam family "Bacterial small subunit ribosomal RNA", at positions 527 to 896 of the family's 1533-position model. The record is from RNAcentral.
GGAGGGUGCGAGCGUUAAUCGGAAUAACUGGGCGUAAAGGGCAUGUAGGCGGUAAGUUAAGUCAGAUGUGAAAUCCCCCGAGCUUAACUUGGGAACGGCAUUUGAGACUGGCUGGCUAGAGUUUUGUAGAGGGGGUAGAAUUCCAGGUGUAGCGGUGAAAUGCGUAGAGAUCUGGAGGAAUACCGGUUGCGAAGGCGGCCCCUGGACAAGGACUGACGCUGAGGUGCGAAAGCGUGGUAGCAAACAGGAUUAGAUACCCCUGGUAGUCCACGCUGUAAACGAUGUCGAUUUGGAGGUUGUGGCCUAGUGUUAUGGCGUCCGAAGCUAACGCGAUAAAUCGACCGCCUGGGGAGUACGGCCGCAAGGUUA